RNAcentral lists this ribosomal RNA (497 nucleotides) under uncultured bacterium. Its description in RNAcentral is "partial 16S ribosomal RNA". It matches the Rfam family "Bacterial small subunit ribosomal RNA", at positions 28 to 507 of the family's 1533-position model. The record is from RNAcentral.
GAUGAACGCUGGCGGCGUGCCUAAUACAUGCAAGUCGAGCGAACGGACGAGAAGCUUGCUUCUCUGAUGUUAGCGGCGGACGGGUGAGUAACACGUGGAUAACCUACCUAUAAGACUGGGAUAACUUCGGGAAACCGGAGCUAAUACCGGAUAAUAUUUUGAACCGCAUGGUUCAAAAGUGAAAGACGGUCUUGCUGUCACUUAUAGAUGGAUCCGCGCUGCAUUAGCUAGUUGGUAAGGUAACGGCUUACCAAGGCAACGAUGCAUAGCCGACCUGAGAGGGUGAUCGGCCACACUGGAACUGAAACACGGUCCAGACUCCUACGGGAGGCAGCAGUAGGGAAUCUUCCGCAAUGGGCGAAAGCCUGACGGAGCAACGCCGCGUGGGUGAUAAAGGUCUUCGGAUCGUAAAGCUCUGUUAUUAGGGAAGAACAUAUGUGUAAGUAACUGUGCACAUCUUGACGGUACCUAAUCAGAAAGCCACGGCUAACUACGUG